This is a long non-coding RNA of Hyaena hyaena (striped hyena), 209 nucleotides long. RefSeq lists it as uncharacterized. The record is from RefSeq and is a predicted model, not a curated record. The transcript is spliced from 3 exons. Lineage: Eukaryota; Metazoa; Chordata; Mammalia; Carnivora; Hyaenidae.
GAGAGAGAGAGAGAGAAUGAGAACAUACCAGGAAGUAAAAAUGAAUGACUGUUUCCCAGGUGGAUAUCCACUUAGCCAUGGAAUUUGUUGCAUUGCCCUGUUGCUACCCAGGUUGGAAAAGAACCCUGGACAGAGAAGACAAGAAGGGAGAUGGCCCGUUGCAGAGUCACGGAAGGCUGGCGGGUUGCUGUGCUGUGCUGAGAAUGACU